AAAAUCAUUACUUAUCAUGACAUGUGGCUAGGGAUGUCAAAAUGGGUCAAAAUUCAUGGGUCAACUCAACUCAACUCAACCCAUGAACCCUAAUGAGUUGAAAAUUUUGACUCAAAUGAGUUGAUGAGCCAAAUGAGUUGAUGAGUCAAUUGGUUUGAUGAGUAAAAUGAGUUGGGUUGUAAUGGUUAAUGGUUUCAAUGGUUUACCCAAUUAACCCAUCAAGUUUUGUAAAAUUGAAUUAAACCAACUAAAAUCUCUAAACCAAUGUCAAUUUAAGUUUAACCAACAUAUUUAAACCAAUUUAAUAAAAUUAAUAUUUUUCCAAAUUUCUUAAAUAUACAAGCGAUGAAAUUGAUAAAAAGUAAACUCGUAAUUUUUCCACUAAAAAAGAUAAACCCGUGAUUUUCCCGCCAAAAACGUAAAUCCAUAAUUUUCCCGCCAAAAACGUAAACUCGUAAUUUUCCCGCCAAAAACGCAAAUCCGUAAUUUUCCCGCCAAAAACGUAAACUUGAAAUUUCCCGCCAAAAACGUAAACCCGUGAUUUUCCCGCCAAAAACGUAAAUCCGUGAUUUUCUCGCCAAAAACGUAAACUCAUAAUUUUCCCGCCAAAAACGUAAAUCCGUAAUUUUCCCGCCAAAAACGUAAACUCGUAAUUUUUCCGCCAAAAACGUUAACCCGUGAUUUUCCCGCCAAAAACGUAAACUCGUAAUUUUCCCGCUAAAAAUGUAAAUCCAUGAUUUUUCCGCCAAAAACGUAAACCCGAGAUUUUCCUGUCAAAAAUGUAAACCCGUAAUUUUCCCACCAAAAACGUAAACCCGUAAUUUUCCUGCCAAAAACGUAAACCUAUAAUUUUCUCGCCAAAAACAUAAACCUGUGAUUUUUCCGCCAAAAACGUAAACCCGUAAAAAGUGGAAUCCGUAAAUAUUCUAAGUUUGAUAAUGAUGAAUUAAUAAUA
RNAcentral lists this small RNA (955 nucleotides) under Arabidopsis thaliana (thale cress). RNAcentral describes it as "ATSL067180". The record is from RNAcentral. Lineage: Eukaryota; Viridiplantae; Streptophyta; Magnoliopsida; Brassicales; Brassicaceae.